CUCCACUAGGUUGUGGUGGCACGGGCAGGUGCUUGAGGUGUUAAACAGUGACUUUGGAUCACUCUGCAACAGCUCUUAGCACGUUCGAGGAUGAACGUAUAUUUAAGUGGAGGAGAAUGUAACGACUCGACCGGUCGUUUUGAUCUCUAACACGUUGUUCGGCGGUUUGAGGCCUUGAGUAGCUUCACUUAAUGUAUUAUGACUUGUACGCGUGGUCGAAAUUUAAUUUCGGGAAGUUCGAAGUUGAUUUGGAAGGAAAAUUCUAAUUUCGGAAGCUUUAAGUUGGGAGAAUUGACUAAGGUUUCACUUUUGAGUAACCGACCUCAGAAUCGGGAUUUGAAGGUUCCAAUAGGGCGUAUAUUCGGGCUGAGUAUCGGAUCAGCCAGGAGCAUUUCGGCGCUUAUUAUGGAAAGUUUAAAUUUUGAAAGCUUAAUAAUUUCCUAAGUUUGGUUUGUAGUGGGCUUUGGUGUUAUCGAUGUCCGUUUGGGAUUCCAAGCCUUGUAAUAGGUUUGUAUUGUGAUUUAUGACUGGUGUGCAAAGUUUGGAGUCAUUUCGUAACGUUUUGAUAUGAAUCGGAUGUGUUCGUCGAAGUUUGAAAGUUCAAAAGUUUAAGAAGGAUUUCGAUCGUCGAUUCAUAGUUUCGAGGUUGUUUGGCAUGAUUUGAGGCCUCGACUAAGUACGUAAUGUGUUUUGGGACGCGUUGGCAUAAUUGGUUAAGGUUUCGAGGGUCCUGGGUGGAUUCCGGAUGGUUAACAGAUCGAUUUUUGGACUAAGGGAAUGCUGGAAUUUUCUGGUUGCUGGUUCGAUCGCUUCUGCGGAAGAUGGGUCGCAUAAGCGACAUCGCAGAAGUGAGGUUCGCGCCGCAAAAAUGGCUGAGAGUGAACUGGUUGAGGUCGUAGGUGCAAAAAAAUUUCCGCACCUGCGUGAUCGCAGAUGCGACCAUUGGAGCGCAGAUGCAGACCUUGCUGGGGGAGGCUGGGAUCGCAAAUGUGGCCGAAUUCGGCAUAAGAGGAACCGCACCUGCUGAUGAAACAUCGCAGAAGCGAAGGUAUAGAAGUGCUGGAGGGGCCACAGAUACUGAGGUUGAGGGGCCUGAAGGGAGCCGUAGAAGUGGACUUUGUGCCGCAGAAGUAGACUUUGUGCCGCAGAAGCGGCCAAGUGUACCGCAGAUGUGAAAAUGUCGUUGGGCAGAGUUAUUUUAAGAACGGGAUUUGGCCCAUCUUUAUUCAUUUUUCACUUGGGUUGGCCGAAUAUGGAGAGCCAUUUUGAGGGGAUUUUCAGCAAGCCACACAAGGUUAGUGAUUCCCACCUAUUACUGGUUAAAUACAUGGUUUAUAUAUGGAUUUAAACAUGAAAAUUAGUAAAAAAUUGAAAUUUUGGUAGAAAACCUAGAAUUUGAUAUUUUUGGAUUUUUGACCAUGAAAUUGGACAUGAAAUUAGGAAUAAAUUAUAUAUUUGAGUUCGUAGUGUUAUGGGUAAAGUUUAUCUUCAAAUAUUUUCGAAAUCCGGGCGCGUGGACCCGAGGGUUGGCUUUGUUGGCCUUUGAGCGAAGCUGGGAAUCAUUAUAAAUUGUUAAAUUAUACGUAUUGGGGUAUAUUUUGAUUGGUUUGCACGUUGUUUGACUAGUUUUGAAGAGACGAGCAUCGGGUUGAGGUGUUUGAGUGGCGUUGGAGCCGGUUAUGGAACUUCGGUGCGAAGUAAGUCUCCUGUCUAACCUUGUAAAGGGGAAACUACCCCUAGGUGAUAUUUAUUGUUAUGUGCAACUAGUUGUGGGCGCUACAUAUGUACGAGGUGACGAGAGUCUGUACGUAACUAAAGCAUGUUUAUGUCCGGGUAGACAUAGGACUUUAUCAUGUAAUAAUUGAAUUAUUUGAACUCGUCCUGCUGGCUUAAUUAAUUAAAGUUAUAUCUAAAUUUGAUUUAGAAAUAAAUAUAUGUAUAAUAGGCCGAGCCUUAAUACUUUGAGUUGUGGGUGAGUUAUUUGAGAAGCGUAAAUAUUAUAUUCGUUAUGUUCUCACGUACUGUAUUGUAAACAUGGUCUCGUAAUUCGGUAUCUUCCUUUCUUUCUUAUGGAGCGGGCCGAACGCCUCGACCGUAUAUAGAUGCAUCUAUGGUUCGUGUCGCACGACCCUCGGCAGUGUACACACUAUUCUAGAUCGGGCCGAACGACCUCUGCAGAAUUGUACGUUAUAUCGCUAUUAGUCCGAAUAUUCACGAGAUAGACCUUCCAUUGAUGCCCAGUAUUUUGUGGUACUCCUUAUUUAUUUAAUAUUGACACUUAGCAUUUUCUGAACUAUUAAGAUAGAAUAUAAGAUCGAGAAAUUUAUACUUCAAAAGGAAUAAUUGGAGAAUUAUGAAAUUUACAGAUUUAGUCCACUAUUGAUGUGCACUUCAUAUCUGUUAUGAGUUAGCAUAUUAUUUUAUUAGACCUCUAGUAAGUAUCAAUGUCGAUCCCUCGUCACCACUUUUUCGGGGUUAGGCUAGAUAUUUACUGGGUAUGCGUUGAUUUACGUAUUCAUGUUGUACUUUUGCACUAAAUGUGAAGGAUCUAACAAGUUCAUUCAGUGAUCAUCUUGGCGUGUAGGUGCAUCUGUUGAGGAGAUUUUAUGUGAGCUGCAGCUCAGGCUACGCAUCGCACUCCAACGAGUCUCCAUCGUACUAUUUAUUUUAUCCUUACUUAUUUACAUUCUGGACAAACAUUGUAUUAUUAUUGUACUCCUUAGAAAAUACCCAUGUACUUGUGACACCAGGUUUUAGUGAUUCCUACUGGUUGUUCAUAAUUGUAGUUGUGUAAAUAUUAUCAUUUACCCUAUAAAUUCUAUUUUAUACUAUUUUAUUAAUGAAAAAUUAUGAUUUCAAAAUACUAAAAUGAGUAAUUAAGUUGAUCAAUCACUAUUGGCUUGCUUGACGGCGGUGUUAGGCACCAUCACGACCUACAGUAGAUUUUGGGUCGUGACAAUGUUCGAAUGCAAAACAAAUAUGAGAUUGUCUUGAGAAUACCUACCUACAAGCAAACAAGGAUAAGGAGUUUCAGUUGAAGCAACAACUUCAAACUAUGAAACUAGGGACCAAAUCUAUUGAUGAAUACAUUAAGGAGAUUAAUGGAAUAUGUGAUAAUCUUAUGGCUAUCCACAAACCACUCGAUGAAGAUAGCAAAGUAAUUAAUUUUUCUAGAUAUCUUGGAAGCAAAUAAAAGACCCUUCGCACUGUGAUGUUGGGAAAACCACCCUAUCCUACCUUUAGCCAAUUUGUGAAUGCACUUAGAGGGUUUUAUAUGCGAGAGGAUGGAGAGGAAUAAUCUGCACAAACCACCCUUGACAACAAAAAUACGAGGAUAUGGUCGUGGUAACUCCUUUAGAGGAAGAGGAAAUCAAAGAGGAAGAGAAAAUAGGGGAGGUUUUAACCAAAGAUAGUAUAGUGCACAACCUGGACAGUUAAGUAUGCAGCAAUUUGGUAUGCAAUCUGGCUACCGUCAGCCAAAAGAGAGUCAAAAAAAUAAUCCUUGUCAAAUAUGUAGGAGAAACAACCAAUCUGCACUUUCUUGCUUCUAUAGAUGGGAUUAUUUUUACCAAGCACAACAAGAAGUACCACAAGCCUUAGAAGCUACGACUCUUAGCGAUCAGCAUGACAAUCACAUGGUGAACUCUCCAGGUAUACUUACGAAUUCUUCUCCAUUGAGAGGUAAUGGUGAUAAAUUACCUAUCACACACAUAGGAGACAAAAAUAUUGAAAAGAAUCUACAUUUAAAGGAUAUUUUUGUGGUGCCUGAACUUAGAAAAAAUCUUAUUUCUGUUAGUAAACUUGUUACCGAUAAUCCUUGCUCUCUCGAUUUUAUUGACAGAGGUUUUAUUGUUAAGGACAAGAGAAUGUGAAUAAUUCUGGCAAAAGGGAAUAGAAGGCUUGACUUGUACACUUUGAAAGGAUAUUUACAUGAGGCAUUGACAACUACGAAAGAAGUGAAGAACUCGGAUACAAUAUGGCAUCAAAUAUUAGGGCACCCGCAUUCAAGAGUUAUUAGUUUUUUACAUAGCAAUAAAAUUAUUGAUGUCAAAAGAUGAAAUAAAGAUUUUUCUAUUUGUAUUAUUUGUCAAAUGGAAAAAAGUUGUAAGCUACCCUUUCAAAUGUCAAAUAAAAGAUAAAUUGAGCCAUUAGCUAAAGUGCAUUGUAAUUUACGGGGAUCUGCUCCUAUGGCAUCAUCUCAAGAAAUAAAAUAUUAUGUCAUAUUUAUUGAUGAUUGCACACGAUUUACUUAGUUUUAUUCGUUGAAGAGAAAAUCUGAUUUUCUAUCUAUAUUUAUAGCCUUUCAAAAAUUAGUAGAAAAUCGAUUAUCAAGAAAGCUUAAGGUGUUUUGGUGUGAUGGUGGAGAAGAAUUCAGUAGUCUAGCUUUCAUCAAUUACUUGGCUCAAAAUGGUGUUCAGAGAUAAAUUUUAUGCCCACAUACUCCCAAACAGAACAGAGUAGCAGAAAGAAAACAUAGGCACAUCGUUGAAACUAGCAUGACUUUGAUAUUCAAUGAAAACUUACCAUUAUUUCUUUGCGUUUAAGCCUUCAUGACUCCAAUUUUUCUCAUUAAUAAAAUGCCUACUUCUACUUUGAGUAUGCAGUCUCCAUUCUCUACAUUACAUGGAAAACAUCCUGACUACAAUACCUUAAAGGUCUUCGGGUGCCGAUGCUUUCCUUACCUCAAGGGACAAAAUAAGAGCAAGUUUCAACCAAAAAUAUUUCCAUGUGUAUUCAUAGGAUAAAGCUUACUUCACAAAGCGUUUAGAUGUUAUCAUCCCCAAUCAAGGAAGGUUUUCAUCUCACGUCAUGUUAUCUUUGAUAAACUCAAAUUGCCUUAUGUAUCCUCUGAUGAUGAUCUAUCUGCAAAUUAAAGUAGCAUUUAUUUUACUACUUUCUAGGAAUUUCUAACGCACCCACAAGAACAAUUUGUUGAUGAAGAGCUUCAAGAACAUAACACAACAGGAUCACCUAGUAGUACCCUUUUAUAGGAAGACACAAUAGCCUCCAACCAACCUACUACAACAACUCAACCUAAAGUGCUUGAUCCUCCAGCACCUAGUGAUGCUUUUAAUAUGCCUUCUGAGCAAACACCAACAGCCACACCAGGUUGACAUAACCCCAACAGUACCUUAUCUAGCUCUAGUUCAGCAGCAAACACCUCUAGCCCCAAUAUAUCCGUCUUUCCAGGUAAUGAUCCUUUUGUAGAACUACCACCUUUUCCUAAUAAUCCAUACACCACUACAACUCAACCAUCAGAUAACACACAUCACAUUCUCACACGGAAAAAGACCAGUGGUAUCCAAAACCCCACCUUUCAAUCACUAUUUCUUGCUACCAAUUCUUAUCUUGACACUACUGAACCUAAGACCAUUAAAUCAGCUCUAUCUAAGCCUCAUAGGUUUUCUGCAAUGCAUGACAAGCUCCAAGCUCUUCGUUCUAAUGAAACCCGGAUAUUACUACCAAGAAAACCUGACAUGAAUGUGGUUGGCUUGCGCUGGGUGUACAAAAUGAAAUUUCAUGCCGAUGGCUCUGUGGAAAGAUUUAAAGCUCGCUUGGUUUCUAAAGGAUAUAAUCAAAUUGAAGGAAUAGAUUUUGAGGAUACCUUCAGUCCAAUUGUGAAGGCUUCCACAAUCCGGAUUGUUUUAUCUAUUGCCAUCACUUUGAAUUGGGAAAUCAAACAACUAGAUGUCAAGAAUGCAUUUUUACAUGGCGAUCUCAAAGAGACAGUGUUUACGAAACAACCACCUGGCAUUCGAGAUCCUAUCUUUCCCAAUCAUGUUUGCCUUCUCAAGAAGGCCUUCUACUGCCUCAGGCAAGCACCAAAGGCAUGGCUUCACAAGUUUAGCUCGUAUCUUCUUCACCUUGGAUUUCUCUAUAGCAAGGCAGAUUCCUCUUUAUUUAUUCUACAUUCCUCAGAAGUUACUCUAUUGCUCCUCCUGUAUGUUGAUGAUAUUAUCUUAACUUGAAGAAAUUCUUUCCUCUUAUCUAAGCUUAUACAUCGACUGCAAUCCCAUUUUGCCAUGAACGACUUGGGCACUCUUAAUUAUUUUCUUGUCAUUGAGGUCCAUCGCGAUAAAAAUGGCCUCUUCCACAGUCAGCAAAAGCAUGCUACUGACAUUCUUCAACGCACAGAUAUAAUCACUGCUCGAGCUCGUCCCACUCCUCUCUCCCUGAAACAUCAUCUUAAUGACUCCACUGGUCCUCCUGUCAAGGCUUUUGAAUAUCGCAGCUUGGUUGGAGCCUUGCAGUAUCUGACGCUAACUCAACCUGAGAUUUCUCAUGUUGUUAACUUGCUCUGCCAAUUCAUGCGGCAUCCUACUGAUGUCCAUUGGACUAGAAUCAAAAGGGUGCUUCGCUAUAUUGAUGGGACUCUAGACUUAGGUCUGCGCCUAUCCACCCAAUCAUCUCUCAAUCUAGUUGGGUAUUCUGAUGCUGAUUGGGCUGGAUGCCCCAUUACCAGACGAUCCACAUCAUGAAUUUGUGCUUUCCUUGGAACAAAUUGCAUUAGCUGGUCCUCAAAGAAACAACAUACAGUCGCCAAGUCUAGUGUGGAAGCUGAAAAUUGCUCUUUAGCAUCUCUAGCAGCAGACUUGACAUGGAUCACCUACUUGUUGAAAGACGUUGGUAUCUCAUUAUCUCAACCUCCAUUGCUCUUCACAGAUAACAUCAGUCCUUUACAUUUGAUAGCUAAUCCAGUGCUACAUACUCAUACCAAGCAUGUUGAACUUGAUUAUCAUUUCGUUCAGGAAAAGGUUGUGCAAGGUGCCAUGGUGACCAAAUUUGUCCCUUCAUUACGGCAAAUAGCAGACAUCUUCAUCAAACCUUUGCCAAAAUUUCAGUUUCCGAUGCACGAACCAAGCUAGGUGUUGUUGGCCACCCUACCACCAGCUUGAGGGGUGAUGUAAGACAACCUGGCUAAGAUGGUUAGGACUCAAAUACUAACCUUCAGUAAUUCUGAGUUUCAGAAUCCUUUCCUUAUUAGGCACAUCUAUUUUCAUGGUUUUCCUUCUAAGUUCAUAAGCCUUGAGAUUUCCUAUCAACUCGUCCCAAGGAAGUAUAGCAAUAUUCUUUGAUUCCUGAAUGGUAGUGAUCUUGCUUUUAAUGUGAUUGGUAAAACCCUGGUUAAUAUCUUCUCAACCCUCUCAUCUUCAGGAAUAAUCCUUACAAGAGACUUUAGUUUAUUUGUCAAUGUAGUGAACCUUGUGUACAUAUCCUGAAUGGUUUCUCCAUCUCUCAUGGUAAAGUUUUAAUAUUGAGAAAACAACAAGGUUCCUCUUGCUCUUUUCACCUGAAUUAUUCCUUCAUGGGCCACCUGCAAUGUGCCCCAUAUUUGCUUGGAAGUGGAGUAGCCUUGGAUUCGUCUAUACUCAUCUAGACCAAGUCCACACACAAGCCGUUUCUUGGCUUUGACAUUCUUCUCCCACUUCUUCAAGUACUCACCAUUGCAAUCAGCUCUUGUCUUUGGCAUAUCCUCUCCUUCAACACUUUUCUUCAAAGUAGGCAGGUGACCAUCAGUAAUUUUGUCCCAUAGCUUGUAGUCUUCUGCCUGCAUGUGAUCUCUCAUACUUGUUUUCCACCAAGAGUAGUACCGUCCAUUGAAGAGUGGUGACCUAGCAGUGGAUUGCCCUUCCCAAUUUCCAGGUGGUGCACUCACUUGAUCUUUUCCUAAUGUGUUAGCCUCUUCAAGGAUAACCCCUUCCGAUACUAAUUGAUAUUUUAUACUUCAAUACCACACAAGAGGUGAUGUGCUUUGUGUGGUGUCCAAUUUUUGCCUACACUAAUUUAUAGAAGAACCUGGUUCCUAAUCUACUGUUGCGGAAUAAAUAAUACAUAAAGUAGAGAACACGAGUAUUUUUACGUGGAGAACACCCGGCUCAAAAGUUGAAAAAACCACAACCUACUUCCUAGUACGAUUUUUUCCCAAAACUUCACUAUAGCUCUGAGCAAAACAACAAUAUUUACAAAAUUCUUGUAAACCUAAGGAUUACCUCUAAUCCUUGUAGCAACCAGCCACAGGCUGUUGCGACAGUUUCAUUUUAAAUCUAACUUGAACAAUACAACUCAAGUACCUAUUACAAUUUGCUUCUAAGAAAGCCGAAAGGUACAACUCAAAAGCCCUACUAUAAUUGAACUAGAAUAAAUGAUAGACACAUGGAACUGGUUCUUUUAUCUGGUUCAUGUAGCUUCAGGUUCACAUUUUUGAAUCACAUAGGAAUUACUUGCAAAAUAUCUUGUUAUUUUGCUCUCAAUUCUUGCUUAACUUCAGCGUAUAUGCGGCACAAGUAAAAGAGAACAUCACUGAUAUAUAUAGAGUUGGUAAGAUUAGGAUUAACUAGAAACUUGAUGCUUCACUUUUCCUUGGUGGAAGAGUUCUAGUUAACUUCAAUAUCUAAUUCUUUCCUUAUGUAGGAUAGAGUUCUCUUCAAGUAAGGAGUCAUGCUCCUUUUCGAUUAUGCAAGAUUUUUGUUUAGGGAUUAUCAGAUAUAGCCACUUAUACGUAUCCCUUGCACGUGCAUGCAUUUUGCUUAAAUCUGACCGUGCCCUGUGUACACCGUUCACGGACCUAUUUCAUUCAUGUGUUCCUUUGACAAUCAUCAAAACCAAAAUAACUCGGGCCAACAAUAUGGCUUUAGGCCCUCGUUAGGCAAGUAGAGCUCUUUUGCUGCUCUCUCAAUAGUCUUCUUUCCUGCCUUUGGAGUUGAUGAAAUGGACAAUUCACACAGAGCUAGUUAGUGGGUAAGAUCAAAUAGAUCUCUUAUCUGAAAGCUAACCUUUUUGCUGUGGCAUGCUCCUCAGAUUUACGGAUUCGCUGGGGCCUUAGGUUCUACUUAGUUUCGCAAGCCUAAAGCUAAGAUCAAAGGCGAGGUAGGAAAUGCCCCGCACGAACUAUCUAAUCAAGUUUUCUUUUACCUAUCACAAGCAGUGGCAAAGCCGUGUUUGUUCGUUGCAUUUCAAGCACCUUCCUUCACUCGAAUGACAUGGUUAUGGGGUUUUACAUGUGGAUCAAAGUUUUUUUCUACUUUUUUUGUUGGAGAAGCUUUGAGUGGUUUGAGAAGCUGAAGAAUGAGACUUUAGCAGAGUUAACAGCUCGAUUGGUUAAUUGAGAGCGAGAAAUACCAAGCGAUUUGAUGGCUUGAGCCUUGAAUUGAUAGAGAGAAACAUAGAGUAAAAGCAAUACUUAUUGGAGACAAGAUUCAAUUGGUCUAGAAGUUGAGAGAAAUUUGUGAUAAGAAAGAGCGUACCAUUAUUUUAUUCGACCUUGAUACGACGUGAAAUACCUUAUAAUGUAACAGAAUGUCCUAAACCACAGUGUAACUCCAAAACUGUUGUCAAUCGAUUUUGAAGCUCUAAAACCUCUGAUUUAGGUGACAUUAUAAUAUAUUUCUAAUGAGGGUUAACGGAGACAUGGGAUAACAGAAAGAUCAGUUGAAUGCCACUACCUAAGAGUCGCUCCGAUAUAUCAAGCCUUACCAAUUAAAGAUUAAUUGAUCGAGUCAAAUGAUAAAGACACUAAUUAAUAAUAACUAAACUUUGCAAUUACCAAAUCCUAAUGUGAUCAAACAUGGAAAAGAUGUAUAAUUGAUGGUGCAUGAAAUUCACAAACUUACAGAAAGUCAUGAAAUUCACAAACUUACAGAAAGUUUCUUGCCAAAUUACCAACAUCACAAAGAAAAGGGAUUUAAAACCACUCAGAGUUGCAUCGUCUCUGGAUAACAAUCCAUGAGGACUUACAGAGACGUGCAAUGUUAUUUAGUGUCUUGCAUGAAGAAUAAAUUUCUCUUGUUUUUACUAAGCUUUCCAUCUAAGCAAUACUUAUGUAAAGAGAUUUCAAGUGUCUCAUCUCACAUCUCACUUAUGAGAGAAGCAGUAGCAUUAGUUUCAACUGAACUGUCCCAAACACCACCAGAGACCCCAAAGUUGAGAUUAUAUUUGGGCUGCUUGUUGGGGGAAAACAAUCCAAAAUGUUUCUCCAGUUCAGGGUUCUUGUUGUUCUCAUCAAACAUGGCAAAUAUAUAGGUCUCAAUAGGUCCAGGCUUUCUUGGGCUACCCUCUUUAGCGUGUUGAAUUAAGUUCCUCAAGUAAGUUGCUGCAUUGUCAUAUGUAGCUCCAAAUGCACCAGCAGAUGGCCAGCCACUCUCGGACACAACAAUCCCUACAGAUGCCCCUCCUGAUCGCUCGAGGGCAGCAUACACAGAAUCCAGCAUUGCAUCAAAUAAGUUCCUAUAUUGGCGUGAACCAUCUUGUACUACCACAUUUGGUGCUGUAAAAAGAGAAUAGGGGAGAGAAAUCUGCCCUGGAUUACCAGAAUAGCUGAAAUAGGGGUAAAUGUUAACGAGUAAAGGUGCACGUGUGUCCCUUAAGAACCCAACAAUUGGAUCAGUAAACCACCUAGCAUCGUUCCUAAACGAACCCUGUGAUGGUGGAUAAGAGUUUCCAAUCAAGGUCAUGUCUACAGAAGUUGAGACCUUGAUGUUGUUUCCUAAACCAGCUUCACCAAUUGCUUUGUAAAUAUUUACCAUGGCAGGAGUAAGAAAUGAGGUAAGGUAAGAUGUGCCUGUGACAGGGCUGAUUUCAUUCCCAACAGCAAUAUACUUAAUCUUAACAUCUGGCCAGAAAUCUUUAACAUUCUUUUGUACCCACCAUCUUGCAUGUUCCAUUCCGGAAGCAAUGUGCUUGACAUCUGAAUUGGGAAGUCCUAACAUAACUUCAAUGUUUGAGCCUUUUAAUGCUUGUAAAGCUCCAUGAUUUGGAUCAUAAAGCCUCAGUCUUCCUAUGUUUCUUGACUUGUAGAGCUGUAUAACUUCCCAAUGAUUUGGCAAGUUGUUGCCUAGCAUUCCAUAGCAAACACCUAUUGAUUGAGCCCCUGCUCAAUAAGAAUUAGAAUUAGUGUUAGAAACUAAAUCAAUUAUGUAAUUCUUGAAAAGUUAAAAACUUACAGUAGACAUGGUAGGUCCCUCCACUAGGGGAUGAUGUAACCAUUUUAAUUUAUGUGACAUAAUUUAAUUCGGCACAAAGUUUAAGAAAAAGAAGAAUGUGAAAAUUGUGUUAUUAAACAUGCUAUAAUAUUUGUACAGACUAUAAGAUAUUUGGAACUUGUAGUCUAAUAUGUUCCAUAAUAUUUGUGAUGUUAUAAAAGGUUGAGAAUAAAAAGUUUAAAGUUAAAAUAUUUUUAAAUAUCAAAUAUGUCAUUCUCUUUGGAAGAAACUAACAGAAAGUGUGUCACAUAAAUUAGAACAGAGGGAAUAUGUGUUAUGUGUUAAUACGAACCUAAUAGCUUUGACUCAGGUCGGUGUAUGUGUUAAAAGAUUUACUAUACAACUAAUAGACGUCUAGCCAAUAAAUCAAAUGGACACUAGUCUAAACUCAUAAAUUUCAAAUUUUAGAUUCACCGCCCUCCCCUCAAAUUUGAAAAGCUUGUGAGUGAGUGUUACCCGAAAAAAGAGCAAAUAACUAUCGCUAAAUGAAUAUAGUGCAAGUAAAUUUGAGAAAAAAACACAAGCAAUUUGAUAAGAAAAAUAAGCAAAUAACUAUCAACUAAAUUAAGAUUUUGCACCAACAAAAUUAUAAGACAAUAUUUUUGGCUCGGAAGUUCAAAUAUUUGACCAGAAACCUGCUAUCUCAAUGGUGCUGGCAACAAGUAGUAAUCCUAGCAGUGUGAUAGCAGCCAUUUGAGGAGUAUUAUGUUUAUCUGAGGUAGACAUGAUGAGAAGACUUGUUGGAAGAAUUAAGAUGAACAAUGAGCUAUUUAUAUUGAGAUAGCCUUGUGUAAAUGUAAAUAUUCGAGUGGAAUAUUAUUGGAGUAUUUGUUAUUCGUAGGCUAAUGAAGUUAAGAGCCGCCCCGGCUGACCUGGCUAUUAACAUGUCAACUUGAUCAUUUUGUGGAAAAAAGAAAAUGAGUUUGAUGAUGUACAAGUUUUAUAUUUUCUCCAAAGGUGCCGUACUAUCUUGACUUUACAAAAGAAAUUAUAGCUAGUUACUUUCUUUCAUCCUGCACAACCAGAUGAAUAGCUGCUUAAUCAUCGUUACAAAUAAUAAAAUCUUCUGUAGUAUCUCCAUGUUUGUGGUAAAUACUUAGCGAUAUCUAUUGUUUAUAUUAAAUCAAGUAAUUUAAUAUUUUCAAUUCAAAUUUAAAAUAAAAUUCAUAUCAUUUAACUAUAAGUAAGUAAGUAAUAAAUAUUGGUCGUAUUUUGAAUUCCCUUAAAAGUAGUUGAGAGAUUUGAAAGUUCUCUAAAACUUUCAUUUGAGUAUACAAUAGAAGAUUGUAGAGUGGCUCGCUGUAUCUUAAGAGUAAGAUGUCAUUUUGCUAUUGCACCAGAGCAAUGAAUGAGAAUCUACUUUGAAGACAACGCCUUCCAUAAGAGUGUCUCGAACCGUUUUUUUUUUUCCUAUUUAAAACUCUAUCUUAUCUUUUAUUAUUAACGGUACAUCUUUUAUUGUAUCUUAAGUGCUCCAUAUCUAAUAUUUUUAAAUUAUAUGAAUUGAUUUAAUGAAAAUUUUCUAACUUCUUACUGCAUUUAUUGAGGAUACUGGAUUCUCAUGAAGACUAACCGAUCAUUUGGUAAAAUAGUGAGAUAAAUAAGGAUAUUCUAUGUGAGUGGCUAUGGGAUUAGCUAUUCCAUUCCACCUUCUACAUGUGAUAGUUGAUUUUACUAUUUUAGUGUAAAAUUUAUUCUGAAAUUAGCUAAUACUUAUAAUUAAACACAAGAUAAAUGCAAUCUCAAAUUCUAUCCCGAAAUUAUUAUUAUUAUUUCUUGUACCAAACGACCCCUUAGUGAAUAUGGCAUGCAGACUCUGAAAAGGCCAAUGAAUCAGUAACCGGAUUCAUUGUCUUCUUUAGAGGAAAAUUUUAUGAUUUGCUGUACCUGUUUAAUUUCUUAAUAUUAGUUGAGAUGUAAAUUAGGAGAUAAACUUAGAAAUAUCCCAUAUCUGGAAGCUCAGAACCUAGCAGCCCCAAGUUGCAGCAAAGUAUUGGAAGAGUUUUGGCACUUACGUGCCAAUCGAGAGUCCUAAAAUUCAUUAUUUUAAUGGCGGCUUUUAUUUGAUCGGUCUUAUUUUACUGGCGGCUCUACUGAGGAGGCAGCUAAGAUGAUGGACUUUGAAGUUAUUAUUAUAAUAAUGAUAUCUUGAUAGUGUUUUGUCAACUAACUAUAAUUAAAGAAAGCUACUUGCCGAUAAUGGACCAUUUGGAAUUUCGGAUGGGAUAUUUUAUGUUUUUGUGACCAAAAGAUAUAAGGGCAAAAUAGUCAAAUUUGCCCCUUUGUUAAUUCAAAUUGAGUAACUAUUACAAACACUUGGUAUAAUAUUUUUCCAUUUAGCAAAAAGUUUUGCCCUUGCCCCCCAAGGGAGCUCCAAUCUUGGAUGGCAAAUGGGAUAGUGCAGGGCGGGCCGGGACAGGGCAAGCUUUGACCCGCUAAGAUUUUGACCUGCGUUGUCCUGCCCCAUUUAGCUUUUUUUCAAAAUUUUGUCAUGCCCUGCCCCGCCUUGCCCUAUUUAAGUUUUUUUUUUAUCCUAUCCCUCUUUCUUUUUUUGUCCCACUAUCCACAGUAACAACCCCUUAAUCUUUAAAAAUAACAGCUUCUCUGAAUUUUCUUUCUUACAGUGAAUAGGGUCUUUUUUAGAAGAGUGUCAUCGUUAUUUAUAGAUGUAAGAAACUGGAACAAAUUUGUAGUUAAAUCUUCUCUGCCAUUUUUAUUUCUUCAUCUUACUUAUGAAUAGCAUGAUAAACUAGAAAUAAAAACUUAAUCCCUCACAACUUUUUAGCUACACUAGCAUCUUGUUCUAGAUAUAUACAAUUAAGUUGUGAUGAUUGAAACUCUAGCAUUUUGAUUUGAUUUUGGUUUAAUUUCUAAAAUUAUUGGUCUAAAAAUAUGAAGAUAUAUUAAAAGUGUUUGAAUUAAUUUUAAAGUAAUGAAACAUUAACCAAGUCAUAACCAUACAUAACGGUAGAAAAAUUUAAGCAACUAAAUCAAAUGGUAAUAGCCCAUGUAUGCUAUACACAGGCAUCUCGUUAAACGGCCCAGUUUUUAGCCGGCAAACCAAACCCACACAUGCCAUGCCCUUUAAAGUUCUUCAAAAUUUAAGUUUUACCCUCUCCUGCCCCGCCUCGCCCCAUUUUAAAAUUCCCCUGCCCUGCCCCGUUUAGAGUUUUCCCUGCCCCACUCUGCACUUGCUCUGCCCCAUUGCCAUUCCUAAUCUUGGAAAAACUUUUUUAAUCAUAAUCAAAAGUUGAGGGGGUAAAUUUGGACUUUUUGUUAAAGAAUUUGUACAAGAACCAUUCUUUUGUUAUUUGAGAUCUAUUAAUGGAAACGAUAAAUACAAGAUGAUUUCCUGUCACGAUUCAAAAUUCCUCCGAAGGAGUCGUGAUGGCACCUAGUCUCCAAAACUAGGUAAGCCUAACACAUACCGAAAUGAUAACAAAUUCUACUAAACAACUGUUGAACAUGAACCCGAAAUUUCUAAAUAAACCAAUAGUCUCAACAUGAUACAAUAUCCCAAAAUUGACAGUACAAGUCAUAAGCCUUUCUAGGAGUAAUUAUACAUAACGAAUACAUCAUUGUUCCGGAUUAAUAGGAAAUAAUGAAAAUAAUUACAAUAGAAGGUGACUUCGGAACCUGCGAACAUCUAGCAAGUGUACCUUGAAGUCUCCAUCCGCACAAGCAUGAAUCUCAAAACCAACUCGAUCCGAAGUACCUGGUUCAGCACAAAAUGUGCAGAAGCGUAGCAUGAAUACACCACAGUGGUACCCAGUAAGUAUCAAGCCUAACCUCGAUAAAGUAGUGACGAGGCUAGGUCAAGACACCUACUGAACAUGUAAACCUGUGUAGGAUAUGACAUAAAGCUAAUAAGGAAGGAAUAUCAAUGUAAUGCCAAUAGCAGAAAGAAUCGAGAUUACAAACAGUAGUAAAGAUAAAGGGGACACGAAUAGCAACGAGAAAUAACCAAGUAAUUAAGCAGCAACAUAGUCGGGGUACUGAUAUAGUAUAAAUGUGCUCAAGUAGGGAAAACGAUGUCAACUCAACCGAUAAAAUCAUUUCUAAUACACAAUUUCAACAAUCUCACUUCUCGUAAUCUCAUAUCAUAAAUCACAACUUCUAAUCCUUUGAUACACAUGGCACCUUGUACCCAUAUUUUCCAUCUCACUUCGCACGGCAAAAUUCAUGUGCUACUCGGUACAUAAUAUCCGUGACCAAUGAUAAUUAGGAUGUUUAAGAGAUUUUAUUUAUAUAUCGUAAAGUAAAAUUACAAUUUCUGAACCAAGUAGGAAAUCAAUGAGAAAAAUGAGUUUAUUUUAGAAAUUAUUUGGGUGAAAAAAAUAAUAUUUUCAAAUAAAAUACAACAUCGGAUAAGCUAUUGAAUUUAAUAUAGAAUUUAUUAAAUUAAAACAUAAUAACAAUUCCUUAUUAAAUAAAGUAAAAACAUUAGAGAGGGUAAGGAGAUUAAGUUGAGAAAUCAAUUAAAGUAAAAUAUGACAACUAUUAGUAAUGGUAAAGUAUCGAAUAAAACGACGAGUUUUAACGUAAAAGUCACAUAAGGUAAGCAUAUUAUUAAUUCUUUUAUUUAAAAUCGCUAUAUUACUAACAACUCAGCAGGAUAUGAGGUAAUGACUCAGCGUAGUAAAUUCAUCUUGAAAUCAAUUCACCAAAAUAAUAGUAUUAGGAAAAGAAUUAAGAAAAUGACGGUAAAGCAAUAAAUGAAUGACAACAACUCAAUCUUUGGAAAGCAGUGAAAAAUCGGAAAUACAAAUUCUCCGAGUCUCGUACGAACGAAUCGAAGCCAAUACAAUACAACAGGGAAUACAAAAUACAUAAAUUAUUGCGGCGCGCAACCCGAUCCCACCGUACAAUACUAUUCACCCUUAUUCCACCGUGUGAAUAUCAAUAGUAAUAAAUAAAUAUAUGUUGCGGCGCACAACCCGAUCCCACCAUAUAAUCAGAGUCAAUAUCAGAAUUCACUCUUAUUUUAUCAUAUCAAUUCACCCGUAUUUCACCUGUUGCGUCGUGCAACCCGAUCCCACCGUAUCAAUAUCAUAAUAUUAAACAAAAUAUGUUGCGGCACGCAACCCGAUCCCACCAUACAAUCUUAAUAUCAUAAUUCACACUUAUUUCACCAUACAAUUCACCCUUAUUUCACCUGUUGCGCCGUGCAACCCGAUCCCCCGUACAAUAAUUUAAAUCAACAGCAAUAAUUAAAUAACUCAAUUUACAAGAAUCUCUACAAUCAAGGGUAUGAGUACACGGCAAUAAAAGAACCACGUAAAAAUCAAAGGAAUACAACAAACUCUACAAAAAUGACAGGAUAGGUAAGGCACACGAUAACUAGGUAUGCAAUCACAACAAUUAUGACAGGUAGUAGAUAAGCACAGAGUAAUAGAAGAAAUUCAACAAUUAAGAAGUAACAAGACAUUAAGGAAGGUAAUAACUUCAACUAAGGCAUAUAAGGGCCAAAUAGCGAGUAAAAGGUACAAUAAGUACAAACAACGUCAAAUAAAGCAUGUAAGAGUAGACUAACAACGCGAUAUCACACGUUAUGACCAUUCAAUUAAAGGCAUGGGAAGAGACUAGACACUCUGAAACGGUCCAUUACCACAUAUGUGUACCCACUCGUCUCUCUGCGUACACGACUUUCACAUAACAAGAUAGUACAAUUAACUCAAUUCCUAAGGGAUAGUUUCUCCCAUACAAAGUUAGACAAAACACUUAUCUCAAAAAAACUAGACCGAUACUCUAAAAUGACCUGCUCGAGUGAAACAACCUCCGGACGGCUCAAAUCUAGCCAAAAUAACAUCAAAUCAUAAAAAAAAACUCAUAUAAAAUAAUUUCGGAUAAUAAAGUUUCAAUCUUUAACAAAAACUAAAAAGUCAACCCCCGAGCCCAUACCUCAAAACCCGAUUAAAUUUAAAAAACCCAAAUAUCCAUUCCGAUACGAGUUCAACCAUACCAAAAUUUCCAAUUUCCGAUAUCAAUUCAUCCUUCAAAUCAUCAUUUUACAUUUUGAAAGAUUUUACAAAAUUUCCCCAAAUUUCCAACUUAAUUCAGUAAUUAAAUGACGCAAAAUAGCCAUGGAUUCAUGAAAUAUAAUAAGAUUCUAGUAGAGAUAAUUAACCCCAAUGAAUUGCUUGAAAAACCCACAAAAUAUCACCCAAAGCCGAGGUCUACAACUUCCAAAAUGAUAAAAAUGGCUAACCCUCGAAAUAGAGUUCUUAUAAUUCUGCCCAGGCAUUCCUCAUACGCGAUCGUGGAACAAGAAUCCCGAUCGCGAAGUACAAAACUGCUGCCCAGCGAAUACAAGCUUCGCGUUCACGGCACAUACCUUGCGAACGCGAUGAACAAUAAUGCAAGGCUAUGCAAACGCAUCCAUUGUUUUGCAAACGCGUCGAGAAAAUACUCCACCAGCCCCAGUUGCCUUACGCGGACGCGUAAACAAGCACGCAAAUGCGAACAACAAACAACUAGAGCUUUGCGAACGCAUGAGCACCAUCGCGUCCGCGAUGAACAAAUCACAGAUCCCCCAGAACCACUUCACGAUUGCGAAGAACAAACGGGCACACCAGAAACCAGCAACUCAAAGCAUGAAAAAAAUGGCCUGUAGCCCAUCCGAAACACACCCGAGGCCCCCGGGACCCCGUCGAAACAAAUCAACAAGUUCCAUAACAUAACCCGGACCUGCCCGAGGUCUCAAAUCAUAUCAAACAACGUCGAAACUACGCAUUGCACCACGAAUCUAACUUAUGAAUUUUCAAAUCUUCUAACUUCCAAAACUCGCGCCGAAACAUAUCAAAUCAACCCGGAAUGACAUCAAAUUUUGCAUGCAAACUCCAAAUGACAUAACGGAGCUAAUCCAACUCUCGGAAUCACUUUCUGACUCCGAUAUCACCAAAUUUCACUCUCGGUCAAAUCUCUCAACCUUCCAAAACUUCAACUUUCCAAUUUCGCCGAAAUGCUUCAAAUUACCCUACAAACCUCCAAAUCCAAACCCAAAAGCACGCCUAAGUCAAAAAUCACCAUCCGGGCCUAUCGGAACCAUUGAAACUCCAAUCCGAGGUCAAAUACUCAAAAGUCAAACCUUGGUCAAUUCUUUCAACUUCGAGCUUCUCAAAUGAGAGUCACUCCCUAAAAUCCUUUUCGAACCUCUCAAAAAGUCGAACCGAUGAUGCACGUAAGUCAUAAUACACUAUGUAAAGCUACUCAUGACCUCAAACUGCCGAACUGGACGCAAUUGCUCAAAACGACCAGUCGGUUCAUUACAUCGUCCCCCACUUAAACUAUGUUCGUCCUCGAACGUGCCAGGAGUCGUUCCAAAGCUAUCAAAUCACUGCAUGAUCUUACCAUACAUACACCCGGGGUGAUUCCACAUCACCCUAAUCCAUGUAGGCCUGAAAACGCAACUUAACUGAAGAUCUCACUUCAUCUUUAGUCCAUAAAUUUAGGACAGAACCCAACCCUCAACAUCUGAAACUCAUCAUAGUACACGAAUCUCGCAUCAGUACACUAUAUAAACCUGAACAGGCUGAAUCGAGCCACAAUUCCAACCCAAGGUACAAUCACAUGAUGUUCCACACAACUCAAAUGCUUGUAGUAAUAACUUCCGACCACCAUAGCUAUCCUAUAUCAAUCUUGGCACUGGUAAUACAUUUCACAUCGAAUAAGACUUUGUUCCGGACCUCCGCAACUCCGCCCAUGAUAAAGAAACAUGCGGAAACUCAUAACCACCCAUGAAAUAAACAAGUCAAGAAGCUCUCUCGUCCGUACACCAAGCAAGCAGCCCAACUGACAACUCAUCAUGGAACCACAUAGAUCAUCACACAACACGGUUCAUACACUAGACCAGCAAUAACUCAGUUAUGCAGCAAAAAUAGAAGGACAACAAGGUACGAGGACUAUCUAACAAGUACCAUAGAUAUAACAACAAAAGUACAGUUUCAUUAACUCAUCCCACAAAGGGAAAACAAUAACACCAAAUAAACACAAGGAAAGGGUAUCCCACAUAACAUCCGUUGCGGCGUGUAGCCUGGUCCCAAAUAUAUUAAUCCACAUAGGGAUACCCAUCGAGUCAAAGUGCUCGGGUUCACUGAUCACAUGAAUGCUGAUAUCAAGCACAAUAGAGUGCACAAGUAUAACUGUGGAAAAUGGAUAGAAAUAAUACAACAUGGAGGAACGCAAGCACAAGUAAGGUGCAAUGAGCAAAUCAACAUCAUGAGGGCAUCUUGCCCACAUUGCCAUAAGGCCCGAACGGAAUUACAACAUGCGUGGAGAAUAAUCAUACAACCUCACAUCCCAUCAUAGCAUAAGAGAGAGGCACAUAACAUAGGCCAGGGGCACAAAUAAUAUCCAUUCUGCCCGGUAACAUAACUGUGAUAAAAUACACAUUCCCAUUGGGCUUUCAAAUAGCCCCCAAACCAAAUCCUAAUCAUUCCCAAACAGGUAAAUAUCCUUCCAAAUGUCUAUAGCAACCUAUCGAUAAUUUAUGCCAUCAGUUAUUCCAUUCUCAACAUUUCUUCACAAUCCACAAAUAAGAAAUAGUCUGCAUAUGAGGACAUCCAGCCCAAAACCUCAUGAAUACCGUAAUUUCCAUACCCGGCCUUAACUAUGCUACUCCAAUGGCUGACAUAUCAGUCACACCCCAUCAUCUUGCGAAAACACCCAUAUAGAUUUUUCGGGCCGCAUAACAAAACUUGAACCUCAGAAGCCUCAAAACCCAGUAAUCACCAUACCACUAGCCAAGCAUCUGCAAACCAAAACACAAGGUGCCUUUCUAAAAUGCACGAUCUUCACAUAUGAUAUCCAAUAAUGCCAACAUUCUAUUAACUUCUGAUAUCCGUCCAAGAGAAGACCGUAAUGUACAACAUAUUCCUUAUGCUCGUAGCAGACAACCGACUCAAGCUGUGGCCGACACUAUCAAGAACUCUCCGAGACCCGCCCGCAUGUAACUAAGCCAUCAUGACCGCAUCUCCCCAACUUAACCGAGUCACACAAAUCGUCCAACCCAAGAGUACUGCCACAAACGCUGGCAGAGGAUUUCCAUCCAAAAAGGACCAAUUAUUUCCAUUGCUAUGCUGACCCAACACCACAGAGCUGACCUAUUUCUUCAGAUACUCCUCGUCUUUCCUCUGGGGUAACACUUCUUCCUGUCGAUACACAACGACCCCAAACAAAACUCAAUGCAGAAAAUCCUAGUACAAACUACGUAGCCCAGAAGCUCAUAAACCACUGUAUUUCCUUAGAAGCACCCCAUAAUUCCCCAACCGAGAUGCCCACCCUGAAUAGACCUUCUUUGAAUCUGAAGUUAUUUCUCGGACCCGCUUGAUACUGAAAUGUAGAUUUAUAAAUGAUGCAUAAAUGCAAAUUUCAGGAAACCUUUCAAUACCGUAUACAUACACCCCAGGCCAAACCUGAUACAACACCUUACCCUGGAAGCUGCUCGUUGAUAGAGGACUCCCCCACUUGGCGCGAAGCCAUAGGACACAACAUCCGAUGAUUCACAAACUCUUGACAGUCAAACUCGCUUCCUCUAGUGCCUCGAAUGAUAAUAUGUACCUUUCACUAAAUAGAAAUCCCAUACGAACCACAUAGUCUCUAAUACCACCAACUAUCCUCAAUCAACAUCCACCUCGUGACCCUACCACGAUCGCGACCACUAGUCAACCAAUUAAACCUUCCCAAGCUUGUACUUAUCAUCCAAAUGCCAGAACCCGCUCCACCCCCACGUGAAAAACUAAAUAGGGUCUCAAUACCUUCGCAUCCUCGGUCUGGACGAUACGUUGAGACAAUAUUUGAGCAUCCCUGACUCCCUCGUAGCCCAUCCGCAACAUCACGAACUGCUGGUGCAUAGCUGGUACCGAGUGCGCAACACCAUACACGAGUGGAUGCAAAGGAACAUAAGACAUAUGCUUCGAUCUGAAUCAAUGUCACACGAUAAGGAUUGAAAGAAGUGGAAUUUCCUAAUAGUUUCUGUAGCCUCUCAAAGAUAAGUACAGACGUCUCUGUACCGAUCCGCAAGACUCUACUAAACCUGCUUAUGACUCGUAGCACCUAUGAACCAAGAGCUCUGAUAUCAACUUAUCACACAUAUCGAAAUGAUAACAAAUUCUACUAAACAGAUGUUGAACAUGAACCCGAAAUUUCUAAAUAAACCAAUAGUCUCAACAUGAUACAAUAUCCCAAAAUCGAUAGUACAAGUCAUAAGCCUUUCUAGGAGUAGUUAUACAUAACGAAUACAUCAUUGUUCCGGAUUAAUAGGAAAUAAUGGAAAUAAUUACAAUAGAAGGUGACUUCGAAACCUACGAAUGUCCAGCAGGUAUACCUUGAAGUCUCCAUCAGCACAAGCAUGAAUCUAAAAACCAACUCGAUCCGAAGUACCUGGUUCUGCACAAAAAUCUGCAGAAGCAUAGCAUGAGUACACCACAGUGGUACCCAGUAAGUUUCAAGCCUAACCUCGGUAGAGUAGUGACGAGGCCAGAUCAAGACACCUACCGAACAUGUUAACCUGUGCAGGAUAUGACAUAAAGCUAACAAGGAAUGAAUAUCAAUGUAAUGCCAAUAGCAGAAAGAAUUCAGAUUACAAACAGUAGUAAAGAUAAGGGGGACACGAAUGGCAAUGAUAAAUAACCAAGUAAUUAAGCAGCAACAUAGUCGGGGUACGGAUGUAGUAUAAAUGUGCUCAAGUAGGGAAAACGAUGUCAACUCAACCAAUCAAAUUAUUUCUAGUACACAAUUUCAACAAUCCCACUUCUCGUAAUCUCAUAUCAGAAAUCACAACUUCCAAUACUUUAACACACAUGGCACCUUGUGCCCACAUUUUCCAUCUCACUUCGCACGGCAAAAUCCACGUGCUACUCGGUAUAUAAUAUUUGUGACCAAUGCUAAUUAGGAUGUUAAAGAGAUUUUAUUUAUAUAUCGUAUAGUAAAAUUACAGUUUCUGAAUUAAGGAGGAAAUCAAUGAGAAAAAUGAGUUUAUUAUAGAAAUUAUUUGGGUGAAGAAAAUUACAUUUUCAAAUAAAAUACAACAUCGGAUAAGCUACUAAAUUUAAUAUAGAAUUUAUUAAAUUAAAACAUAAUAACAAUUCAUUUUUAAGUAAAGUAAACACAUCAGACAUGGUAAGGAGAUUAAGUUGAGAAAUCAAUUAAAGUAAAAUAUGACAACUAUUAGAAAUGGUAAAGUACCGAAUAAAACGACGAGUUUUAACUUAAAAGUCACAUAAGGUAAGCAUGUUAUUACUUCUUUUAUUUAAAAUCGCUAUAUUACUAACAACUCAGCAGGAUAUGAGGUAAUGACUCAGCGUAGUAAAUACAUCUUGAAAUCAAUUCACCAAAUUAAUAGUAUUAGGAAAAGCAUUCAGGAAAUGACGGCAAUACAAUAAAUUAAUGACAACAACUCAAUCUUGGGAAACCAAAGAAAACCGAAAAUACAAAUUCUCUGAGUCUCGUACGAACGAACCGAAGCCUGUACAAUACAACAGGGAAUACAAAACACAUAAACUGUUGCGGUGCGCAACCCGAUCCUACCGUAUAAUACUAUUCAUCCUUAUUCCAACGUGUGAAAAUCAAUAGUUAUAAAUAAAUAUAUGUUGCGGCGCGGAACCCGAUCCCGCCUUAUAAUCAGAGUCAAUAUCAUAAUUCACUCUUAUUUCACCAUAUCAAUUCACUCUUAUUUCACCUGUUGCGACGUGCAACCCGAUCCCACCAUACAAUAUCAAUAUCAUAAUUCACCCUUAUGCUUAUUUCACAUGUUGCGGCAUGCAACCUGAUCCCCCGUACAAUAAAUUAAAUCAACAACAACAAUUCAAUAACUCAAUUUAUAAGAAUUUCUACAAUCAAGGGUAUGAGUACACGACAAAAAAGGAACCACGUAAAAAUCAAAGGAAUAAAACAAACUCUACAAAAAUGACAGGACAGGUAAGGCACGCGAUAACUAGGUAUGCGAUCACAACAAUUAUGACAUGUAGCAGAUAAGGACAGAGUCAUUAAAGAAAUUCAACUAUUAAGAGUUAACAAGAUAAUAAGGAAGGUAAUAACUUCAACUAAGGCUAUAAGGGUCAAAUAUCGAGUAAGAGGUACAAUAAGUGCUAACAGCGUCAAAUAGAACAUGUAAGAGUAGACUAACAACGAGAUAUCACAUGUUAUGACCAUUCAAUUAAAGGCAUGGGAAGAGACUAGAUACUCUGAACCGGUCCAUUACCACAUAUAGACUGUGUACUCACUCGUCACCUUGCGUAUACGACUUUCACAUAACAAGAUAGCACAAUUAACUCAAUUCCUAAGGGGUAGUUUCCCCCCACAUAAAGUUAGACAAGACACUUACCUUAAAGAAGCUAGACCGAUACUCUAAAAUGACCUACUCGAGUGAAAUAAGCUCCGGACGACUCAAAUCUAGCCAAAAUAACUUCAAAUUAUAAAUAAAACUCAUAGAAAAUAAUUCUGGAUAAUAAAGUUUCAAUCUUUAACAAAAACUAAAAAGUCAACCCAAAAGUCACCCCCGAUACCGCAUCUCAAAACCCGAUAAAAUUUAUAAAACCCAAACAUUCAUUCCGAUACGAGUUCAACCAUACCAAAAUUAUCAAAUUCCGACAUCAAUUCGCCUUUCAAAUCAUUAUUUUGCAUUUUGAAUGAUUUUACAAAUUUUCCCCAAAAUUUUUAACUUAAUUCACUAAUUAAAGGAUGAAAAUAACCAUGGAUUCAUGAAAUAUAAUAAGAUUCGGGUAGAGAUAACUUACCCUAAUGAAUUACUUGAAAAACUCACAAAACAUCUCCCAAAACCGAGGUCUACAACUCCCAAAAUGAUAAAAAUGGCUAACCCUCGAAAUAUAGUUCUUAUAUUUCUGCCUAGACAUUCCUCAUACGUGAUCGCGGAACAAGCAUCGCGAUCGCGAAGUACAAAACUGCUGCCCAGGGAAUACAAGCUUCGCGUUCGCGGCAUAUACCUUGCGAACGCGAUGAACAAUAAUGCAAGGCUAUGCGAACGCAUCCAUUUUUUCGCGAACGCGUUGAGGAAAUACUCCACCAGCCCCAGUUGCCUUACGCGGACGCGUAAACAAGCACGCAAAUGCGAACAACAAACAGCUAGAGCUUUGCGAACGCAUGAGCACCAUCGCGUCCGCGAUAAACAAAUCACUGAUCCCCCAGAACCACUUCGCGAUCGCGAAGAACAAACGGGCACACCAGAAACCAGCAAUUCAAAACAUGAAAAAAAUGGCAUGUAGCCCAUCUGAAACACACCCGAGGCCCCCGGGACCCCGUCGAAAUAUAUCAACAAGUUCCAUAACAUAACCCGGACUCGCCCGUGGUCUCAAAUCAUAUCAAACAAUAUCGAAACUAUGAAUCAUACUACGAAUUGAACUUAUGAAUUUUCAAAUCUUCUAACUUCCAAAACUCGCGCCGAAAUAUAUCAAAUCAACCCGGAAUGAUGUCAAAUUUUGCAUGCAAUUUCCAAAUGACAUAACGGAGCUAAUCCAACUAUCGGAAUCGUAUUCCGACCCCGAUAUCAUCAAAAUCCACUCUCGGUCAAACCUCUCUACCUUCCAAAACUUCAACUUUCCAAUUUCGCCGAAAUGCUUCAAAUUACCCUACGAACCUCCAAAUCCAAAUCCGGAUGCAUGCCUAAGACAAAAAUCACCAUUCGGGCCUAUCUGAACCAUCAAAACUCCAAUUCGAGGUCAAGUACUCAAAAGUCAAACCUUGGUUAAUUCUUUCAACUUCGAGCUUCUCAAAUGAGAGUCACUCCUUAAAAUCCUUUCCAAAUUCUCAAAAACCCAAGCCGAUGAUGCACGCAAGUCAUAAUACACUUUGUGAAGCUACUCGUGACCUCAAGCUACCGAACCGGAUGCAAUUGCUCAAAACGACCAUUCGGGUCGUUACAUUUCCUAAUAGCAAGUGUAUGAAUAAACCAAAAAGUUUAAAGGCUAAACUUGAGCAACGUCGAAUAGUACAGUCAAAAAUUUAGUCGUUUUCCCAUAAUAUAAUUUAGACCAUUUAUUAUACUCUCUUAUAUAUUCUUCCUCUUCUAUCAUCCGACAUUGUACACCAAUCUUAGUAGAUCUCAAAAAAAUUGAUUUGCUAUUGUUUGUUGUUUGCAGUAAAUGGGCCGUUUAGUCUAUGAUCAAGCUUCAUCAUGGUUAACGCAGUUUUUCAAAAGGAUGAACCAUAUGUGCAUCUAAUUCAGAGCAUCAAAACAAUGAGUUGUUCAAGCACUAGUGUGGAAGAUGUUAUAUGCUUUCAAAACCUCCUUGCACGCAUGUGCCAUCCAGUUCUAGGAUUUAUAUGUGGAAUUGUGGAUUGAAAAACUUCUCUGCAUUUUUCUUCCACAGAAAUUUGAUUUUGUCCAAAUCAAUUCCACAAAUAGAAUAAUGAGGCUUGAGUUAGUGCAAUUGUUUAAUUGAUAGGAGAAAGGUUAAGUCAUGGUGAAUCUUAGAGUGAAAAAAUAGUUAGAGACAACACACAACUGGCUAGAAGAAAAUAGAAAUUUGUCUUAAGAGAAAGCAUUGUUGGGGUACAUAUUAUUAACUAUGCAUUUAAAUAUAUUAUAUUCUAACACUUGCCAUAGUUAAAAGUCUAAGCAGGAGAUUGUUGGGAUAUAUACUAUUAAUCAUGUGUUUACAUAUAGUAUUUAUUAUAAAAUAAUUAUGUAUUUAAUUAUAAUAAAGAUUUAAAGAGAUCAUGUAUUUGUGUAUAAGUUUUAAUUAUAGUAGAUGAUUUAAUGUAUAGAGUUUAACUUAUUCAUAGAAGAUUAAAUCAUCGGUUCUUAUAAAUUAUAAAGAUUAUGUUCACAAUAUAAUUAUGGAAUGGGACAAGCCAUCAGAAUGAUUGUAAUUAAAGAUUAAAUAUAAUUUAUAUUGAUCAUGAAAAUGCUAUAAUUUUGACUUCUUGUGAUAGUACAUUUUAUAUGUUUUGUACAUAUCAAGUAGAGAUAGGUAUUUUGCACUAACUUAAUAAAAUAAAUUCUCUUGUCCAUCAAGUGUACUUAUACUAUUAAUCUUGAUAUAAUUAGUAUUAGCUAUGUGUAUUAUUUAAUAUUUUGAUUUAUUAAAAGGUGAGAUUCUGUUCUUGUAAUAUGCCUCAUAAGUUGGAUGAUAGAAAUAUAUAUAUUGGCGAAGUAAUAGUUAGUUUAUGAAAUCAUAUCUUGGUCUAGAGAUUGAUGAUACACCUUUACGAAAGCUUAUAAAUUUUCAUGUGUAAAUCUUGCAGGUUAAUUUUAUAUCUGUCACAUGAAAUAAGUUAAGAGAAAAAAAAAAAUAAUUAACGAAUUAAAUAAUCAGUAAUUUAAUUUAUUUGAUUAGUAACUGAAACUUAACAUAUGAAAUUAAAUAAGGUUUAAUAAGAAAAUUUUAAAAUUGAACUGAGAAGUGCAAUAAUAAACUUUUAGUGGAAUAAUUCUCAGUUUAUUAUGGUAGAAUUAAUUUCAACAUUUCAUAUUAAGUAUAUAUAGGAAGCCUCGUCAAUUGAAUUCAGAAGUCCCCGCUAUGCCUGAUUAGAAUUAAAUGAAUUUCGUUUUCUUGACAAAUAUAACGAACCAAUCGACCAUUUUGAUUGUAGAAUCACAUUUCCCUCUCUGAGAUUUUUCAUAGGUUCAUUUGAUGUUUAUUACUUGCGGAUAUGUAUGGAACGGGACCCAAGAAGUUUAGGAGUUAUAUAAAAAAAUUCUUAGUCCCUAACUAAAGGCCUUAAGUAAAGAGAGUUUACCAAAGUCAAUAUUUUUAGCUAAACAAUCUCAGAUUCGUUAUUUGGAUGUUCUGAUAGGUUUGUACGUUAAAUUUGGACUUAUACGUAUGUUCGAUUUGGCGCCCGAGGGAAUCAAAUGCGAUUCGAUCAUAUCUUGUGCAAGAUGGAACUUGAAGAACUUAAGAAAAUUCAUAUUUUAGUUUCGAUCUUGAUUUUUAGUUGUAGUAUUUUCGGAUGUGUUUUAAGCCCUUGGACAAGUUCGUAUAGGGUAUACAAAGUAGUAAGGAUGAUUGGACGGGAUUCCGUGGGGCUCAGGUGAAUUUUAGAGUAAUCAGAUGAUGAUUUUGUAAUGAGAAAACUAUAGAAAAUGGUAGCAGACAUUGACGGCAUCCGCCCUCUGUUGCAGCACCUGGGGAGGGACAGAGCUAGGACACAUCAUGUCCCAACUGGCGCCAAUGCCUAGUCAAAUUUUGCUGAAAUUUCUUUUUUUCCAUAUAUAGCCCCAUUUCGUAUAAACACUUUAUUUUAUCAUAUUGGGAGCUACAUAGUACAAAAUUUGGGGAUUUUUUUAGAGAUUUCAACUACAUAAUUAGGGUAAAAAAAUCUAACCUAGAACUAUGGUUAUAACCUAGACCCCAUGUACUCAACAAGUAUUAUAACUAACCUCGACGAGGUAAUAGAAGCAAAAUUAUAAAUGAUACUCGUCAAUCACCUGUACAUGUUCAUAAAUUCUAAAAAGUAUAGAACAUAAAUAUGAUCAAAAAUUAUGAAAUCAUGGAUAAAAUCGCCUUGGUGCUCACAUAUAUUUUUAACAUAUUCUGCUUAGUUAAUAACCCAGCAUAUAAAGAAGAUAUGCAAAUAAACAGGGUAAAUAGGCAAGGAAAUUGCAAGUAAGUAUGAAAUGGAACAACCAAAUAUCACUCUAUUUCGGCGCGCCCGAUCCAAAAAAAAAUCACAUCACGACUCUCAGGCCCACAUCAGAAUCUCAGUAACCGAACCAAACAAAUAACCAGCUUUCCCAGAGCUCAUAUCAAGCAGAAACUCAUCGGUUUCUCAUAAUCCGUGUGUACACCAUCAAGAAGGCACAUGAGAGGGUGACCCUGGGGAGAUGGAUCCAUAUCCACAUAUUGCACGGCGUAGUCAGGUGCAAAUAGGCCGAUAUGGUCACAUGCUCAAUAUCAUAAUCCGUCCAAAGUGGUCACAAGCUCAAUAUCACAGAUCCGCCUGGCGUGGUCACAAGCUAAGUAUCUCAAUACGUCCGUCGUGGUCACAUGCAUAAUAUAACAAUCCGCUCAUCGUGGUCACUUGCACAAUAUCAUAUUUCGCCCAGCGUGAUCACAUGCACAAUAUCAUAAUCUGCCCAGCGUGGUCACAUGAACAAUAUCAUAAUCCGCCUGGCGUGGUCACAUUCUACCAGUCCAAAUCAUAUCACACAGAAAGCAAAUAUACAAGAAAAUAUGUAUAUGAUCAAUGAAUAUAAAAUUUCAUACUCCUUGACUGGUAUAAGUGACAUGCUAAUGUGUAUGCAUAUGUAAGUGUGAUAUCAUAGCUCAAAUAAG
RNAcentral lists this long non-coding RNA (28213 nucleotides) under Nicotiana tabacum (common tobacco). RNAcentral describes it as "long non-coding RNA (NTAB_LNC008558)". The record is from RNAcentral. Lineage: Eukaryota; Viridiplantae; Streptophyta; Magnoliopsida; Solanales; Solanaceae.